AGCCAGGCCCCAUGCAACGGGUGGCCGACGAAUCCCGCCAGGUCCGGAAGGAAGCAACGGCAGUCAGCUCAUCCGUGUGCCGUGGCAAGCCUGGCCCCU
Molecule: signal recognition particle RNA, 99 nt
Filed under: Opitutales bacterium
Lineage: Bacteria; Pseudomonadati; Verrucomicrobiota; Opitutia; Opitutales
Description: signal recognition particle sRNA small type
Rfam family: Bacterial small signal recognition particle RNA
About the family: The signal recognition particle (SRP) is a universally conserved ribonucleoprotein involved in the co-translational targeting of proteins to membranes. Archaeal SRP consists of a 7S RNA and homologues of the eukaryotic SRP19 and SRP54 proteins.
Source: RNAcentral